RNAcentral lists this ribosomal RNA (479 nucleotides) under uncultured bacterium. RNAcentral describes it as "bacterial SSU rRNA". It matches the Rfam family "Bacterial small subunit ribosomal RNA", at positions 8 to 518 of the family's 1533-position model. The record is from RNAcentral.
AGAGUUGAUUAUGGCUCAGGAUGAACGCUGGCGGCGUGCCUAACACAUGCAAGUCGAGCGAUCUCUCGGAGAGAGCGGCGGACGGGUGAGUAACGCGUGGGUAACCUGCCCUGUACACACGGAUAACAUACCGAAAGGUAUACUAAUACGGGAUAACAUACGAAAGUCGCAUGGCUUUUGUAUCAAAGCUCCGGCGGUACAGGAUGGACCCGCGUCUGAUUAGCUAGUUGGUAAGGUAAUGGCUUACCAAGGCAACGAUCAGUAGCCGACCUGAGAGGGUGAUCGGCCACACUGGAACUGAGACACGGUCCAGACUCCUACGGGAGGCAGCAGUGGGGAAUAUUGCACAAUGGGCGAAAGCCUGAUGCAGCAACGCCGCGUGAGCGAUGAAGGCCUUCGGGUCGUAAAGCUCUGUCCUCAAGGAAGAUAAUGACGGUACUUGAGGAGGAAGCCCCGGCUAACUACGUGCCAGCAGCGGC